AGAGUUUGAUCCUGGCUCAGAAUCAACGCUGGCGGCGUGCCUAACACAUGCAAGUCGCACGAGAAAGGGGAGCAAUCCCUGAGUAAAGUGGCGCACGGGUGAGUAACACGUGAAUCAUCUACCUCCGAGUGGGGAAUAACCUAGAGAAAUCUGGGCUAAUACCGCAUAACACUUACGAGUCAAAGCAGCAAUGCGCUUGGAGAGGAGUUCGCGGCCGAUUAGUUAGUUGGCGGGGUAAUGGCCCACCAAGACGAUGAUCGGUAUCCGGCCUGAGAGGGCGCACGGACACACUGGAACUGAAACACGGUCCAGACUCCUACGGGAGGCAGCAGUGGGGAAUUUUGCGCAAUGGGGGAAACCCUGACGCAGCAACGCCGCGUGGAGGAUGAAAUAUCUUGGUAUGUAAACUCCUUUCGAUGGGGAAGAUAAUGACGGUACCCAUAGAAGAAGCCCCGGCUAACUUCGUGCCAGCAGCCGCGGUAAUACGAGGGGGGCAAGCGUUGUUCGGAUUUAUUGGGCGUAAAGGGUGCGUAGGCGGUUUGGCAAGUCUUAUGUGAAAUCUUCGGGCUCAACCCGAAGCCUGCAUAAGAAACUGCCGGGCUUGAGUAUGGGAGAGGUGAGUGGAAUUUCCGGUGUAGCGGUGAAAUGCGUAGAUAUCGGAAGGAACACCUGUGGCGAAAGCGGCUCACUGGACCAUAACUGACGCUGAUGCACGAAAGCUAGGGGAGCAAACAGGAUUAGAUACCCUGGUAGUCCUAGCCCUAAACGAUGAUUGUUUGAUGUGGCAGGUACCCAAUCCUGCCGUGUCGAAGCUAACGCGAUAAACAAUCCGCCUNGGGGAGUACGGUCGCAAGGCUGAAACUCAAAGGAAUGACGAA
RNAcentral lists this ribosomal RNA (878 nucleotides) under uncultured bacterium. Its description in RNAcentral is "bacterial SSU rRNA". It matches the Rfam family "Bacterial small subunit ribosomal RNA", at positions 8 to 917 of the family's 1533-position model. The record is from RNAcentral.